This 670-nucleotide long non-coding RNA is filed under the name Sus scrofa (pig). RNAcentral describes it as "lncRNA (ENSSSCG00065057940.1)". Lineage: Eukaryota; Metazoa; Chordata; Mammalia; Artiodactyla; Suidae. The record is from RNAcentral.
UGAGGUUCAAGUUGAUUGCUACUAUUCCCUAGCUAUGACUAAAACUCUGGUCUUCUGCACCCACUGAUAGUGAUCUCUUUGCCACAGGAUGCUGUGUAUAUGAAAUUGCAGUACAGCUAUGACACCUAAGAGAUUUGAAAGAUUAAUUUGGGCCAAAGGCCUCGAGGAAAGAAGAUUUCAUUACUGAGGUUGCCAGAAGGAAUGAAGAAGAAUGGAGAAUGAUUCUCAUAAUUAUAGCAUCUUGGAAAUUUUGAGCAGAAGCUCGUCUGACAAUGGAAAAAGACUAUGUCAUUGGCUGUUGAAGACUCUAACCAUAGCCUUUGAACAGAAAUGAUGAAAAGGAGGAAUUAACCAGGCUAGGAAGGUGACAAGGUACCCAGAAGGACUGGGGAGUAAAGUAAGUUGAUAUUUAUUUGAUUAUCUGACCCGGAAGGACUGGAGAGUAAAGUGAAUUACACUUAUUUGAUUAUCUGACUAAAAAAAAGAGAUAGCCUUUCUGCUUUCUUUCUUUUUACAUUCUCUAGUUUGGCUAAAAUAAUGCCUAAUUCCAAUAUUUUUCCUUGUACAAAAUUAUAGCAUCUCUAUGCUUUGUAAUAUUUCUGCCAAAACCUUCGUGUCUAUUAUUGAUGAGGGAAAUAAAUAGUACAGUUCUCUAGGAAAUUAUGUUUCA